RNAcentral lists this long non-coding RNA (257 nucleotides) under Lathyrus oleraceus (garden pea). RNAcentral describes it as "Pisum sativum (pea) long non-coding RNA (PSAT_LNC015779)". The record is from RNAcentral. Lineage: Eukaryota; Viridiplantae; Streptophyta; Magnoliopsida; Fabales; Fabaceae.
UUCUAGAAGAGGUCCCCAGAGUCAUGGAUCGAACUCAAUGUUCUAUCAUGAAGAAGUGUUGGCCUUUUUCAUGACAAACCUUUUGAAUUGAUCUAUUCUGGGCAGAAUCGUCAUCAAAGACCCUAGGGGAUGAAAACCCUAAUGGACGAGACAGAACGACCCCUUACUUAAGCUUAUAUUUUUUCUCGAGCUUGGGUUUUAGCUUCUCACAUAGUAUCAAUCCCCACCAAUGAUAUGACAAUUUAAUAAGAUAAGAG